GCGGAUAUUGCAUAAAGGUAGUGUCUUUGCCUUCCAAGCAAAAGGUACGGGUUCGAUUCCCGUUAUCCGCU
This 71-nucleotide transfer RNA is filed under the name Prototheca wickerhamii. RNAcentral describes it as "tRNA-Gly". It matches the Rfam family "tRNA". From Rfam's summary of the family: Transfer RNA (tRNA) molecules are approximately 80 nucleotides in length. Their secondary structure includes four short double-helical elements and three loops (D, anti-codon, and T loops). Further hydrogen bonds mediate the characteristic L-shaped molecular structure. tRNAs have two regions of fundamental functional importance: the anti-codon, which is responsible for specific mRNA codon recognition, and the 3' end, to which the tRNAs corresponding amino acid is attached (by aminoacyl-tRNA synthetases). tRNAs cope with the degeneracy of the genetic code in two manners: having more than one tRNA (with a specific anti-codon) for a particular amino acid; and 'wobble' base-pairing, i.e. permitting non-standard base-pairing at the 3rd anti-codon position. Lineage: Eukaryota; Viridiplantae; Chlorophyta; Trebouxiophyceae; Chlorellales; Chlorellaceae. The record is from RNAcentral.